Molecule: ribosomal RNA, 509 nt
Filed under: uncultured bacterium
Lineage: Bacteria
Description: bacterial SSU rRNA
Rfam family: Bacterial small subunit ribosomal RNA
Source: RNAcentral
GACGAACGCUGGCGGCGUGGAUUAGGCAUGCAAGUCGAACGGUAUCAUCCUUUCGGGGGUGAGAGAGUGGCGAACUGGUGAGUAACACGUAGGUUAUCUACCCUCAAGACGGGGACAACCCAGGGAAACUUGGGCUAAUACCGGAUGUGAGCAACUUUUAGUUGUUUGAAAGGUGGCGUAAGCUGUCGCUUGGGGAUGAGCCUGCGUCCUAUUAGUUAGUUGGUGAGGUAACGGCUCACCUAGGCAAUGAUAGGUAGGCGGCCUUAACGGGUGGUCGCCCACACUGGGAUUGAGAUACGGCCCAGACUCCUACGGGAGGCAGCAGUCGAGAAUAGUCUACAAUGGUCGGAAGACUGAUAGUGCGACGCCGCGUGAACGAUGAAUCCCUUCGGGGUGUAAAGUUCUUUUAUAUGUGAGCAGUGCUUCUUAUAUUAACAGUAUGGGGAGAGAGAUAUUAGCAUAUGAAUAGGCAACGGCUAACUCCGUGCCAGCAGCCGCGGUAAACUCGU